GUAUUAAGUUUUUUUUUUUACUCGUUAAAGUAAAGGGUCAGUCAAAAAAUUUAGUCAAAGGUUUGGUUUAAAGUCCUUUCAAUAAGUGCGUCGGGUGGGGUGUAAUAGAUUAGUCUUUCAAACAAUCCCACAGGUUUCUUAUACGAAACAGGUAACCAAAAAAAUGAAACUACGCCCCUUUCUCUGGUAGCGAUCGGCUUCAUUCUUUUUUUUACUGGAUAUUCGUUAAUGAUCCUUCCGCAGGUUCACCUACGGAAA
Molecule: unclassified non-coding RNA, 258 nt
Filed under: uncultured fungus
Lineage: Eukaryota; Fungi
Description: sequence contains ITS1
Source: RNAcentral